RNAcentral lists this ribosomal RNA (624 nucleotides) under uncultured bacterium. Its description in RNAcentral is "bacterial SSU rRNA". It matches the Rfam family "Bacterial small subunit ribosomal RNA", at positions 180 to 803 of the family's 1533-position model. The record is from RNAcentral.
AUGAGUCCGCAUGUUCACAUGAUUAAAGGUAUUCCGGUAGACGAUGGGGAUGCGUUCCAUUAGAUAGUAGGCGGGGUAACGGCCCACCUAGUCUUCGAUGGAUAGGGGUUCUGAGAGGAAGGUCCCCCACAUUGGAACUGAGACACGGUCCAAACUCCUACGGGAGGCAGCAGUGAGGAAUAUUGGUCAAUGAGCGAGAGCCUGAACCAGCCAAGUAGCGUGAAGGAUGACUGCCCUAUGGGUUGUAAACUUCUUUUAUAAAGGAAUAAAGUCGGGUAUGCAUACCCGUUUGCAUGUACUUUAUGAAUAAGGAUCGGCUAAUUCCGUGCCAGCGGCCGCGGUAAUGCGGAGGAUCCGAGCGUUAUCCGGAUUUAUUGGGUUUAAAGGGAGCGUAGAUGGAUGUUUAAGUCAGUUGUGAAAGUUUGCGGCUCAACCGUAAAAUUGCAGUUGAUACUGGAUAUCUUGAGUGCAGUUGAGGCAGGCGGAAUUCGUGGUGUAGCGGUGAAAUGCUUAGAUAUCACGAAGAACUCCGAUUGCGAAGGCAGCCUGCUAAGCUGCAACUGACAUUGAGGCUCGAAAGUGUGGGUAUCAAACAAGAUUAGAUACCCUGGUAGUCCACACGGU